CUUAAAACUUACCAUAGCCCCAUAACCUAAUUCCCGGGUAUUACCUUCAGGAAGCCCGAACACCCCAAAUAUUUUUUUUUCAUUUUUCAUUUUUGUUGGUGUAACCAACUCCAAAAGGUUGGAAAAGAGUUCCUACAAAGGUUUUGGACAGUGAUUUUAACCCUAACGCCAAAAAACUUAAACCUUACCCUAGCCUUAAAAUCUAAUACCCGGGUAUUACAUUCAGGAAGCCCGAAAACCCCAAAUAUAUAUUUUUUCAUUUUUCUUUUUUUUUUUUUGGUUUAACUAACUCCAAAAGGUUGGAAAAGAGUUCCUACAAAGGUUUUGGACAGUGAUUUUAACCCUAACGCCAAAAACCUUAAACCUUACCCUAGCCUUAAAAUCUAAUACCCUGGUAUUACCUUCAGGAAGCCUGAACACCCCAAAUAUUUUUUUCUUCAUUUUACAUUUUUGUUGGUGUAACCAACUCCAAAAGGUUGGAAAAGAGUUCCUACAAAGGUUUUGGACAGUGAUUUUAACCCUAAUGCCAAAAAACUUAAACCUUACCCUAGCCUUAAAAUCUAAUACCCGGGUAUUACAUUCAGGAACCCCAAAAACCCCAAAUAUUGUUUUUUCAUUUUUCAUUUUUUUUUGGUCUAACUAACUCCAAAAGGUUGGAAAAGAGUUCCUACAAAGGUUUUGGACAGUGAUUUUAACCCUAACGCCAAAAAACUUAAACCUUACCAUAGCCCCAAAACCUAAUACCCGGGUAUUACUUUCAGGGAGCCCGAAAACCCCCAAUAAUAUUUUUUUCUUUUUUCAUAUUUUUUGGUCUAACUAACUCCAAAAGGUUGGAAAAGAGUUCCUACAAAGGUUUUGGACAGUGAUUUUAACCCUAACGCCAAAAACCUUAAACCUUACCCUAGCCUUAAAAUCUAAUACCCUGGUAUUACCUUCAGGAAGCCUGAACACCCCAAAUAUUUUUUUCUUCAUUUUACAUUUUUGUUGGUGUAACCAACUCCAAAAGGUUGGAAAAGAGUUCCUACAAAGGUUUUGGACAGUGAUUUUAACCCUAAUGCCAAACAAAAUUAAACCUUACCCUAGCCUUAAAAUCUAAUACCCGGGUAUUACAUUCAGGAACCCCAAAAACCCCAAAUAUUGUUUUUUCAUUUUUCAUUUUUUUUUGGUCUAACUAACUCCAAAAGGUUGGAAAAGAGUUCCUACAAAGGUUUUGGACAGUGAUUUUAACCCAAACGCCAAAAAACUUAAACCUUACCAUAGCCCCAAAACCUAAUACCCGGGUAUUACUUUCAGGGAGCCCGAAAACCCCCAAUAAUAUUUUUUUCUUUUUUCAUAUUUUUUGGUCUAACUAACUCCAAAAGGUUGGAAAAGAGUUCCUACAAAGGUUUUGGACAGUGAUUUUAACCCUGACGCCAAAAAACUUAAACCUUUCCCUGGCCUUAAAAUCUAAUACCCGGGUAUUACCUUCAGGAAGCCCGAACACCCCAAAUAUUUUUUUUUCAUUUAUCUUUUUUUUUUGUCUAACUAACUCCAAAAGGUUGGAAAAGACUUCCUACAAAGGUUUUGGACAGUGAUUUUAACCCUCACGCCAAAAACCUUAAACUUUAACCUAGCCCCAUAACCUAAUACCCGGGUAUUACCUUCAGGAAGCCCGAACACCCCAAAUAUAUAUUUUUUCUUUUUCUUUUUUUUUUGGUCAAACUAGCUCCAAAAGGUCUGAAACAUGUUCCUUAAAAAAUAUUGGACAGUGAUUUUAACCCUUACGCCAAAAACCUUAAACCUAAUC
Molecule: non-coding RNA, 1786 nt
Organism: Xyrichtys novacula (pearly razorfish)
Lineage: Eukaryota; Metazoa; Chordata; Actinopteri; Labriformes; Labridae
Source: the annotation of a GenBank genome assembly